Strongylocentrotus purpuratus (purple sea urchin) is the source of this 638-nucleotide long non-coding RNA. RefSeq lists it as uncharacterized. The transcript has 3 exons. NCBI's taxonomy places the organism in Eukaryota, Metazoa, Echinodermata, Echinoidea, Camarodonta, Strongylocentrotidae. The record is from RefSeq and is a predicted model, not a curated record.
AUAAAUUGUGCGGAUUAACAAUUUAGUCUGCUAAAGUAAGGUUUUAAUUCAUAAUAUUGCAUGCAUUACGGAAAUUACAUCUUUGUUUUUGAGACACAAAGAAACUGUAAUUAGAUAGAGACACUGCAUGGAUGCCAAACAUUUAGCAGGUUGAUAUAGUUCGGAAUGCGAAUUACACCGCGGAGGAAUACCAAAUCAGACCACAACAACAAAGCUGAUAUAGCGAGAGACAAGAAAAAGAUGUCUGCCUGCUUGUUCGUGCUAUCUCUGAAGUCGUAUUGAUAACAUGUGUAUUGCCCUUUUCUGAUGUCUAACGGCGCCUGCCUGUAAGGACCAGUGGAAUUGUUCCACAGGAUAUAUUUUAUGUGAAUUAUGUUGUAUACCUGCCAUCGGACAUUAAUUUUGGAGCGGUGACUGGUCAGAAAAUCAGGGAUACGUCAAGAUGCAGAAUAGCAUGCCGGGAAAAAUUACAUCAGACAAGGAGCUGAGCGACUUGCUUGACUUCAGUGCGAUGUUUUCCCCACCAACGGGUGAGGGUGGCCGAAAGAAUGGAAAUGUAGCUGCCUCUGAACAUCAUUCAGCAUCCAACUACAAGCAAGGUAAUUUAGAGUUUAAUCACUUUUUUCCUGUAUUGUUUU